This 2326-nucleotide ribosomal RNA is filed under the name human gut metagenome. RNAcentral describes it as "bacterial LSU rRNA". It matches the Rfam family "Bacterial large subunit ribosomal RNA", at positions 724 to 2925 of the family's 2925-position model. The record is from RNAcentral.
GAUGAUCUAGCCCUGGGCAGGUUGAAGCGCGGGUAAGACCGCGUGGAGGACCGAACCCACCUGGGUUGAAAACCGGGGGGAUGACCUGGGGCUAGGGGUGAAAGGCCAAUCAAAUUCCGUGAUAGCUGGUUCUCUCCGAAAUGCAUUUAGGUGCAGCGUCGGUCGAUUGCGUCGCGGGGGUAGAGCUACCGGAUGCUUGCGGGCCCUUGUUGGGUACCAACAGCAGCCGAACUCCGAAUACCGUUGACGUGUAUUCCGGCAGUGAGUCGGCGGGGGAUAAGCUCCGUCGUCGAGAGGGAGACAGCCCAGACCGUCGUCUAAGGUCCCGAAGCGUGUGCUAAGUGGGAAAGGAUGUGGAGUCGCAUAGACAGCCAGGAGGUUGGCUCAGAAGCAGCCAUCCUUGAAAGAGUGCGUAACAGCUCACUGGUCUAGUGGUUCCGCGCCGACAAUGUAGCGGGGCUCAAGCACACCACCGAAGACGCGGCAGCAAUCUUCAUGGUUGCUGGGUAGGAGAGCGUCCUGCAUGGGGCGAAGCGGCCGGGUAACCGUGCCGUGGACCGUGUGGGAGUGAGAAUGCAGACAUGAGUAGCGAGAGACGGGUGAGGAUCCCGUCCGCUGGAUGACCAAGGGUUCCGGGGCCACGUUCGUCGUCCCCGGGUGAGUCGGGUCCUAAGGCGAGGCCGACAGGCGUAGUCGAAUGGAUGAACGGGUGGAUAUUCCCGUACCGACCAUGGACCGGCAAAACCGAGACGGUGAGUACUAACCUCCGCCUCGUGGUGGUUCCUUCCUUCGGGUUGGUUCCGCCGCGUGGUGUUGGGAGCGUAGCCGCAGUAGGUCAGCGCAGGGGUGACACGGAAUGGGAGCCGGCCGCGGAGGUGGUUUUCCGUGGUCAAGCACGCAGCCAGUCAUGUAGGCAAAUCCGCAUGGCGCGCAUGGCGAGGUGUGAUGAUGGGAGCCUUUUGGCUCGAUAUCCGGUUGUCCAGGCCGUCGAGAAAAGCCUCGGCGUGAGGGCCAUGGCCGCCCGUACCCCAAACCGACACUGGUGGUCAGGUAGAGAAUACCAAGGCGAUCGAGCGAAUCCUGGUCAAGGAACUCGGCAAAUCACUCCCGUGCCUUCGGUAUAAGGGAGACCCACUGGGGUGAAGGACCUUGCGUCCGGAGCUUUGGUGGGUGGCACAGACCAGGGGGUAGCGACUGUUUACCAAAAACACAGGUGCAUGCGAAGGCGAAAGCCGCUGUAUAUGCACUGACGCCUGCCCGGUGCCGGAAGGUUAAGAGGAUCCGUCAAUCCUUCGGGAUGAAGCGGUGAAUUCAAGCCCCGGUAAACGGCGGUGGUAACUAUAACCAUCCUAAGGUAGCGAAAUUCCUUGUCGGGUAAGUUCCGACCUGCACGAAUGGCGUAACGACUUCCCCACUGUCUCGACCAGGAGCUCGGCGAAAUUGCAGUACGAGUAAAGAUGCUCGUUAAGCGCAGAAGGACGAAAAGACCCCGGGACCUUUACUAUACCUUGGUAUUGGCGUUAGGCGCGGAUUGUGUAGCAUAGGCGGGAGGCUUCGAAGCGUGGGCGCCAGCUCAUGUGGAGCCGCAAGGUGAAAUACCGCUCUGUUCUCGUUUGACGUCUAACCUCGACAAGUCAUCCUUGUCAGGGACAGUGCCUGGCGGGUAGUUCAACUGGGGCGGUUGCCUCCCAAAGAGUAACGGAGGCGCUCAAAGGUCCGCUCAGCCCGGUUGGCAAUCGGGUGUCGAGUGUAAUCGCACAAGCGGGCUUGACUGCGAGGACGACGGUCCGAGCAGGGACGAAAGUCGGAGAUAGUGAUCCGGUGCCGGCGCACGGGCGCGGCAUCGCUCAACGGAUAAAAGGUACCCCGGGGAUAACAGGCUGAUCAUUCCCAAGAGUCCAUAUCGACGGGAUGGUUUGGCACCUCGAUGUCGGCUCGUCGCAUCCUGGGGCUGGAGCAGGUCCCAAGGGUUCGGCUGUUCGCCGAUUAAAGCGGCACGCGAGCUGGGUUCAGAACGUCGUGAGACAGUUUGGUCUCUAUCCUCUGCGCUCGUUGGAAUCCUGAGGAGGCCUGCCCAUAGUACGAGAGGACCUGGGUGGACGAACCUCUGGUAUGCCGGUUGUCGCGCCAGCGGCACGGCCGGUUGGCUACGUUCGGGAGGGAUAACCGCUGAAAGCAUCUAAGCGGGAAGCCUGCUCCAAGAUUAGGAUUCCGUACGGUCUUGAACCGUUGUAGCCCGCAUGUUGAACACGUGUUUGAUAGGCCGGAGGUGGAAGCCCCGUGAGGGGUGGAGCCGACCGGUACUAACGGGCGACGGCGACACAAC